ACGGAAGGCAGCAGUGAGGAAUAUUGGUCAAUGGACGGAAGUCUGAACCAGCCAAGUCGCGUGAAGGAUGAAGGUAUUAUGUAUUGUAAACUUCUUUAGCAGUGGAGUAAUAAGGGGAUCGUGAUCCCUGAUGCAAGUACACUGAGAAUAAGGAUCGGCUAACUCCGUGCCAGCAGCCGCGGUAAUACGGAGGAUCCGAGCGUUAUCCGGAUUUAUUGGGUUUAAAGGGUGCGCAGGCGGCUUUUUAAGUCAGUGGUUAAAUCGUGACGCUCAACGUCAUCACGCCAUUGAUACUGGAGAGCUUGAUUGCGGUCGAGGUUUGCGGAAUUCGUUGUGUAGCGGUGAAAUGCACAGAUAUGACGAAGAACACCGAUUGCGUAGGCAGCAGACCAGGCCGUAAAUGACGCUCAUGCACGAAAGUGCGGGGAUCGAACAGGAUUAGAUACCCUGGUA
Molecule: ribosomal RNA, 453 nt
Filed under: uncultured Porphyromonadaceae bacterium
Lineage: Bacteria; Pseudomonadati; Bacteroidota; Bacteroidia; Bacteroidales; Porphyromonadaceae
Description: partial 16S ribosomal RNA
Rfam family: Bacterial small subunit ribosomal RNA
Source: RNAcentral